This 834-nucleotide unclassified non-coding RNA is filed under the name Hevea brasiliensis (rubber tree). The record is from RNAcentral. Lineage: Eukaryota; Viridiplantae; Streptophyta; Magnoliopsida; Malpighiales; Euphorbiaceae.
AUGGAUGAGCUUUUGGCUGUUUUGGGUUACAAGGUAAGGUCAUCUGACAUGGUUGAGGUCGCCCAGAAGCUUGAACAGCUACAAGAAGUUAUGGGUCAUGUACAAGAAGAUGGUAUUUCUCAUCUUGCUUGUGAAACUGUCCAUUAUAAUCCCUCCGAUCUAUCCACUUGGCUAGAAAGUAUGCUCUCAGAGCUCAACCCAAAUCCCAAUUUUGAUUCUGUUGUUAUGCCUGCACAGCCUUCUAUAGAUGAUUCAUUUUUCACUCAUCCUGAAUCUUCCACCAUCACCUCUAUUGAUUUCGCCGACCAUACCCAUCAACGUCACCAAGAGCAGCGGAAAACAAACAAGCACAGUCGAGAUGUGGUGUUUGAAGACUCUUCAUCUUCUGAUUACGAUCUCAAAGCUAUUCCUGGUAAGUCCGUAUUUGCCCAACCUCAUCUAAUUGAUUCCUCCUCUUCGUCGUCUCGAGAUCCCAAGCGUUUGAAAUCCGCAACCACAGACCACCUAUACCCAGCAGCAGCAGCAGCAUCAUCGUCAUCUACUAUUGGUGCUGGUGCUGCUGGUUCCUUUGGUGUUUCAACUGAGUCAACUCGUCCAGUAGUCCUGGUUGACUCACAAGAGAACGGAAUCCGACUAGUUCAUCUCCUAAUGGCCUGUGCCGAAGCCGUCCAAGAAAAUAAUCUAACUGUCGCGGAAGCCCUCGUCAAGCAAAUCGGUUUCCUGGCCAUCUCUCAAGCCGGAGCUAUGCGUAAAGUCGCCACCUACUUGUUAGCUCGCAGAAUUUACAGACUCUAUCCUCAAAGUGCCAUGGACCAUUCUCUCUCGGAUAUUCUA